RNAcentral lists this ribosomal RNA (808 nucleotides) under uncultured archaeon. RNAcentral's name for it is "bacterial SSU rRNA". It matches the Rfam family "Archaeal small subunit ribosomal RNA", at positions 85 to 879 of the family's 1478-position model. The record is from RNAcentral.
ACGGCUCAGUAACACGUAGCUAACCUACCCUUUGGACAGAGACACCCCCGGGAAACUGGGGUUAAUCCCUGAUAGGUGUGGAGGCCUGGAAUGGUUCCACGCCCAAAAGCAUAACAACCAUGUUUGUUAUGUGCCAGAGGAUGGGGCUGCGGCCGAUCAGGCCGUUGGCGAGGUAACGGCUCACCAAACCUUUGACCGGUACGGGCCAUGAGAGUGGUAGCCCGGAGAUGGACACUGAGAUAGGGGUCCAGGCCCUACGGGGCGCAGCAGGCGCGAAAACUCCACACUGUACGGAAGUACGAUGGGGUUACCUCGAGUGUAGUCUGUAAAAGAUUGCUUUUCCAUAGAGUAAUAUCCUGUGGGAAUAAGAGGGGGGCAAGACUGGUGUCAGCCGCCGCGGUAACACCAGCCCCUCGAGUGGUAGGGACUUUUAUUUGGCCUAAAGCGUUCGUAGCUGUCUGUAACCGUUGCCCGUUAAAUCCAGCGUCUCAAGCGUUGGACUGCGGGCAGUACCUUACAGAUUGAGGGUGGGAUAGGUAAGCGGUAUUUCUGGGGUAGGGGCGAAAUCCUUUGAUCCCAGGAGGACCACCAGUGGCGAAGGCUGCUUACUAGAGCACGCCUGACGGUCAGGAACGAAAGCUGGGGUAGCGAACCGGAUUAGAUACCCGGGUAGUCCCAGCUGUAAACGAUGCGCGCUAGGUGUUGGGUCGGCCAUGCGCCGCCCCAGUGCCGCAGGGAAGCCGUUAAGCGCGCCGCCUGGGGAGUACGGCCGCAAGGCUGAAACUUAAAGGAAUUGGCGGGGGAGCAC